Long non-coding RNA from Centropristis striata (black sea bass), 205 nucleotides. RefSeq lists it as uncharacterized. The transcript is spliced from 3 exons. Lineage: Eukaryota; Metazoa; Chordata; Actinopteri; Perciformes; Serranidae. The record is from RefSeq and is a predicted model, not a curated record.
UCCCGGCUUGGAGGCAGUUAAAUGCCGUCAUCGUGGGAAAAGGAAUUUUCUCCCAUGCACUGACAAGAUCAUCAGCGAGGUGAGACUCUGUCUUGCUGUCGGCAUACCAGUUCAUCCCAAAAGCACAGCCAGCGAGGCUGUUGGCAGUGCACCGUGUUCAGCUGUACAUCUCUUGGCACCCCUUCAUCCUCACGGGGGUCAAGCG